This 253-nucleotide ribosomal RNA is filed under the name uncultured bacterium. RNAcentral's name for it is "partial 16S ribosomal RNA". It matches the Rfam family "Bacterial small subunit ribosomal RNA", at positions 524 to 776 of the family's 1533-position model. The record is from RNAcentral.
UACAGAGGUCUCAAGCGUUGUUCGGAAUCACUGGGCGUAAAGGGUGCGUAGGCUGCACGGUGAGUCAGAGGUGAAAUCCCGGAGCUCAACUUCGGAAUUGCCUCCGAUACUGCCGUGCUUGAGGACUGGAGAGGAGAUUGGAAUUCACAGUGGAGCAGUGAAAUGCGUAGAUAUUGUGAGGAACACUAGUGGCGAAGGCGAAUCUCUGGACAGUUCCUGACGCUGAGGCACGAAGGCCAGGGGAGCAAACGGG